AUGCGAUACAUACCUAUUUGCAUUACUAAACCAAAAUACUAAUGUAUAUGUUAUUUUUACAUCUGUACGUUUCUCAUUGUGUUUGCCUUUGCAUACCCAUAUAUUAUAUAUUAUACCUAACGGUUAACGAAUAUAUACGGUUGGUAUUGAUGUUGAAUAAUUCAGGACCGGCAAAACUGAAAAAAAAAAAAAAAAAAACAGGAGUAAAACAAAAAAAACCACCGUGGCGCUGUAGUUGUGUACCUGCCUAUA
This is a non-coding RNA of Cinara cedri, 252 nucleotides long. Lineage: Eukaryota; Metazoa; Arthropoda; Insecta; Hemiptera; Aphididae. The record is from the annotation of a GenBank genome assembly.